AGCCUUUUGUGUCCGUGCUGAGAUUUUGUCACAUACCAGACCACAGGGACUGAUGAGGCUCCCGAAAUAAGUGAAGCG
Molecule: microRNA precursor, 78 nt
Filed under: Schistosoma mattheei
Lineage: Eukaryota; Metazoa; Platyhelminthes; Trematoda; Strigeidida; Schistosomatidae
Description: mir-3492 microRNA precursor family
Rfam family: mir-3492 microRNA precursor family
Source: Rfam by way of RNAcentral